Molecule: unclassified non-coding RNA, 271 nt
Filed under: uncultured fungus
Lineage: Eukaryota; Fungi
Description: partial contains small subunit ribosomal RNA, internal transcribed spacer 1, and 5.8S ribosomal RNA
Rfam family: Eukaryotic small subunit ribosomal RNA (bases 1-73)
Source: RNAcentral
UCAAACUUGGUCAUUUAGAGGAAGUAAAAGUCGUAACAAGGUCUCCGUUGGUGAACCAGCGGAGGGAUCAUUAGAGAGAGCCUAAGAAACUCCCGAAAACCCCAUGUGAACAUACCGUACGUUGCCUCGGCGGUCCCCCCCCCGGGGGGGCCCGCCGGCGGCCCCCGAAACGAACCCUGUGAUAGAACUGAAUCUCUGAGCUUGUAUAAUAAAUUGAGUCAAAACUUUCAACAACGGAUCUCUUGGUUCUGGCAUCGAUGAAGAACGCAGC